GAUGUACGCUGGCGGCGUGCCUAAUACAUGCAAGUCGAACGCUGAAGGAGGAGCUUGCUCUUCUGGAUGAGUCGCGCACGGGUGAGUAACGCGUAGGUAACCUGCCUGGUAGCGGGGGACAACUAUUGGAAACGAUAGCUAAUACCGCAUGACAACAGUUAUUGCAUGAUAACUGUUUAAAAUGGGCAACUGCUCCACUACCAGAUGGACUUGCGUUGUAUUAGCUAGUUGGUGAGGUAACGGCUCACCAAGGCGACGAUACAUAGCCGACCUGAGAGGGGGGACGGGCACACUGGGACUGAGACACGGCCCAGACUCCUACGGGGAGCAGCAGUAGGGAAUCUUCGGCAAUGGACGGAAGGCUGACCGAGCAACGCCGCGGGAGUGAAGAAGGUUCUCGGAUCGGAAAGCUCUGUUGUAAGAGGAGAACGAGUGGGAGAGUAGAAAGUUCACACUGUGACGGUAUCUUAAGAGAAAGCGACGGCUAACUACGUG
Molecule: ribosomal RNA, 495 nt
Filed under: uncultured bacterium
Lineage: Bacteria
Description: partial 16S ribosomal RNA
Rfam family: Bacterial small subunit ribosomal RNA
Source: RNAcentral